Molecule: ribosomal RNA, 468 nt
Filed under: uncultured bacterium
Lineage: Bacteria
Description: partial 16S ribosomal RNA
Rfam family: Bacterial small subunit ribosomal RNA
Source: RNAcentral
GACGAACGCUGGCGGCGUGCUUAACACAUGCAAGUCGAACGGAAAGGCCCUGGUUUCGAGGGGUGCUCGAGUGGCGAACGGGUGAGUAACACGUGAGUAACCUGCCCUGGACUUUGGGAUAACUUCAGGAAACUGGGGCUAAUACCGGAUAGGAGCUCCGGCUGCAUGGUGGGGGUUGGAAAGUUUCGGCGGUGGGGGAUGGACUCGCGGCUUAUCAGAUUGUUGGUGGGGUAGUGGCUUACCAAGGCUUUGACGGGUAGCCGGCCUGAGAGGGUGUCCGGCCACAUUGGGACUGAGAUACGGCCCAGACUCCUACGGGAGGCAGCAGUGGGGAAUAUUGCACAAUGGGCGGAAGCCUGAUGCAGCAACGCCGCGUGGGGGAUGACGGCCUUCGGGUUGUAAACCGCUUUCGCCUGUGACGAAGCGUGAGUGACGGUAAUGGGUAAAGAAGCACCGGCUAACUACGUG